UAAUAUAUCGGAACGUAUCCAAUAAUGGGGGAUAACUAAUCGAAAGGUUAGCUAAUACCGCAUACGCCCUACGGGGGAAAGCAGGGGAUCUUCGGACCUUGCGUUAAUGGAGCGGCUGAUAUCUGAUUAGCUAGUAGGUGAGGUAAAGGCUCACCUAGGCUUCGAUCAGUAGCUGGUCUGAGAGGACGACCAGCCACACUGGAACUGAGACACGGUCCAGACUCCUACGGGAGGCAGCAGUGGGGAAUUUUGGACAAUGGGCGCAAGCCUGAUCCAGCCAUUCCGCGUGAGUGAAGAAGGCCUUCGGGUUGUAAAGCUCUUUCGCAAGGGAAGAAACGAUACCGACGAAUAAUCGGUGUUAAUGACGGUACCUUGAUAAGAAGCACCGGCUAACUACGUGCCAGCAGCCGCGGUAAUACGUAGGGUGCGAGCGUUAAUCGGAAUUACUGGGCGUAAAGCGUGCGCAGGCGGUUUUGUAAGUCAGAUGUGAAAUCCCCGGGCUCAACCUGGGAACUGCGUUUGAAACUACAAGGCUAGAGUAUGGUAGAGGGGGGUAGAAUUCCACGUGUAGCAGUGAAAUGCGUAGAGAUGUGGAGGAAUACCAAUGGCGAAGGCAGCCCCCUGGACUAAUACUGACGCUCAUGCACGAAAGCGUGGGGAGCAAACAGGAUUAGAUACCCUGGUAGUCCACGCCCUAAACGAUGUCUACUAGUUGUUGGGAGAGUAAAAUCUCUUAGUAACGCAGCUAACGCGUGAAGUAGACCGCCUGGGGAGUACGGUCGCAAGAUUAAAACUCAAAGGAAUUGACGGGGGCCCGCACAAGCGGUGGAUUAUGUGGAUUAAUUCGAUGCAACGCGAAAAACCUUACCUGGCCUU
This 876-nucleotide ribosomal RNA is filed under the name uncultured beta proteobacterium. RNAcentral describes it as "bacterial SSU rRNA". It matches the Rfam family "Bacterial small subunit ribosomal RNA", at positions 111 to 982 of the family's 1533-position model. Lineage: Bacteria; Pseudomonadati; Pseudomonadota; Betaproteobacteria. The record is from RNAcentral.